Molecule: ribosomal RNA, 253 nt
Filed under: uncultured bacterium
Lineage: Bacteria
Description: partial 16S ribosomal RNA
Rfam family: Bacterial small subunit ribosomal RNA
Source: RNAcentral
UACGUAGGUGGCAAGCGUUGUCCGGAUUUACUGGGUGUAAAGGGCGUGCAGCCGGGCUGACAAGUCAGAUGUGAAAUCCCGCGGCUCAACCGCGGAACUGCAUUUGAAACUGUCAGUCUUGAGUACCGGAGAGGUCAUCGGAAUUCCUUGUGUAGCGGUGAAAUACGUAGAUAUAAGGAAGAACACCAGUGGCGAAGGCGGAUGACUGGACGGCAACUGACGGUGAGGCGCGAAAGCGUGGGGAGCAAACAGG